RNAcentral lists this ribosomal RNA (556 nucleotides) under uncultured bacterium. Its description in RNAcentral is "bacterial SSU rRNA". It matches the Rfam family "Bacterial small subunit ribosomal RNA", at positions 94 to 630 of the family's 1533-position model. The record is from RNAcentral.
AGCGGCGAAGGGAGAGUCACACGUGGGUAAUUUGCCAUGAAGUUUGGGAUAACUGGAAAGAAAGGCGAGCUAAUACCGGAUGUGACCCCCGGGAGACAUCUCCUGGUGGUUAAAGUUGGGGACCGUAAGGCCUGACGCUUCUUGAUGAACCCGCGGCCUAUCAGCUAGUUGGUGAGGUAACGGCCCACCAAGGCUAAGACGGGUAGCUGGUCUGAGAGGACGACCAGCCACACUGGAACUGAGACACGGUCCAGACACCUACGGGUGGCAGCAGUCGAGAAUUUUUCACAAUGGGCGCAAGCCUGAUGGAGCGACGCCGCGUGGGGGAUGAAUGGCUUCGGCCCGUAAACCCCUGUCAUUUGCGAUCAAACCUUAUUAUUUAAAAGAUGAUGAGCUGAUAGUAGCGAAAGAGGAAGGGACGGCUAACUCUGUGCCAGCAGCCGCGGUAAUACAGAGGUCCCAAGCGUUGUUCGGAUUCACUGGGCGUAAAGGGUGCGUAGGUGGUGAGGUAAGUCGGAUGUGAAAUCUCGGAGCUCAACUCCGAAACUGCAUUGGA